GGCAAAAAAGUUUAGAUCAAUGACACAAUACAUAGGUGAUCACUCAACUUUUUUAAUGACAUAUAUGAAAUUAUACACUUUUUAAUAGCGCGUCUACAUCAAGGAAGAGCCUAGAUACAUAUAGCACUUCUCUUACGUUUUGUAUAAUGUGGAAUGCGCACCACAAGACCACAGGCAGAACACUGUUGUUCAGUUUAUUAUUACAAAUUCUCAGAGGUUAGAUUACAAAUGUAGAGGAGCCUACUGGUCUUAGAAAGAAAAGUGCGACUCAUGAGAGGUGAGGCCCUAAAGGUACAAACGUUGGCAGCAGAGUUUGUAGGCCUUUGUUCCCUGAUCGUAUCGGUGUUGUGGCCUCCAGAAACUGCGAGGCCACAAAAACUUGUAAAUAGCUCUUGUAACUAUUAUUCUCUCCACUUAUCAAUGAAAGCCGGUAACGGAUCUUUCGAAAAAAAAAUUCUCAGAGGUUCAAGUGUAGUAAAAAAAGCAGUACAUAAGUCUUUGGUUUAUUAUAAAAGCCUUUGUUCACCAAUGCAAGCAUUCAUGGAUAGACCUCGAUGACCGAUAGAGCGCCAAGAACGGGUAGGAUUUUGUAGUCUUUGAAUCCAGCUUC
This 610-nucleotide long non-coding RNA is filed under the name Sorghum bicolor (sorghum). RNAcentral's name for it is "long non-coding RNA (SBIC_LNC001567)". Lineage: Eukaryota; Viridiplantae; Streptophyta; Magnoliopsida; Poales; Poaceae. The record is from RNAcentral.